CUGGUGCCAGCAGCCGCGGUAAUUCCAGCUCCAAUAGCGUAUAUUAAAGUUGUUGCAGUUAAAAGCUCGUAGUUGAAUUUCGGGGUUAGUAGGUUGGUCAUGCCUCUGGUAUGUACUGGUCUCACUGAUUCCUCCUUCCUUAUGAACCGUAAUGCCAUUAAUUUGGUGUUGCGAGGAAUUUGGACUGUUACUUUGAAAAAUUAGAGUGUUUAAAGCAAGCUAACGCUUGAAUACAUUAGCAUGGAAUAAUGAAAUAGGACGUUCGAUCUUAUUUUGUUGGUUUCUAGGAUUGACGUAAUGAUUAAUAGGGAUAGUUGGGGGCAUUAGUAUUCAAUUGUCAGAGGUGAAAUUCUUGGAUUUAUUGAAGACUAACUACUGCGAAAGCAUUUGCCAAGGAUGUUUUCAUUAAUCAAGAACGAAGGUUAGGGGAUCGAAGACGAUCAGAUACCGUCGUAGUCUUAACCAUAAACUAUGCCGACUAGGGAUCGGAUGAUGUUAAUUUUUUAAUGACUCAUUCGGCGCCUUACG
Molecule: ribosomal RNA, 528 nt
Filed under: uncultured Glomus
Lineage: Eukaryota; Fungi; Glomeromycota; Glomeromycetes; Glomerales; Glomeraceae
Description: SSU rRNA
Rfam family: Eukaryotic small subunit ribosomal RNA
Source: RNAcentral